AUGGAGCACAUGUGGGUUUUCCUCUUGAUGGUGGCAACUCCCUCAGGUGUCCUUUCCCAGGUGCAGCUGCAGGAGGUGGGCCCAGGACUGGUGCAGCCCUCACAGACCCUGUCUCUCACCUGCACAGUCUCUGGAUUCUCUUUAAGCAGCUAUGGUGUGAACUGGGCCCGGCAGGCUCCUGGAAAAGGGCUGGAGUGGGUCGGUGCAAUAUGGAGUGGUGGAAGCAGAAAUUAUAACCCAACAUUGGCAUCCCGAGUAAUCAUCACCGGGGACACCUCCAAGAGCCAAGUUUAUUUAAAGCUGAACUCCGUGACUGACAAAGACAAAGACACCUAUUACUGUGCAAGAUACACACUCAGCAAGGCCGCCUAA
Molecule: non-coding RNA, 372 nt
Organism: Orycteropus afer afer
Lineage: Eukaryota; Metazoa; Chordata; Mammalia; Tubulidentata; Orycteropodidae
Source: the annotation of a RefSeq genome assembly